CGAGACCUCAGGUCAGACGGGGCUACCCGCUGAGUUAAAUCAUAUCUAUAAGCGGAGGAAAAGAAACUAACUAGGAUUCCCUUACUAACG
This 90-nucleotide ribosomal RNA is filed under the name Lonchocarpus longipes. RNAcentral describes it as "partial 28S ribosomal RNA". It matches the Rfam family "Eukaryotic large subunit ribosomal RNA", at positions 1 to 88 of the family's 3401-position model. The record is from RNAcentral. Lineage: Eukaryota; Viridiplantae; Streptophyta; Magnoliopsida; Fabales; Fabaceae.